ACGCUGGCGGCAGGCCUAACACAUGCAAGUCGAGCGGCAGCACGGGUACUUGUACCUGGUGGCGAGCGGCGGACGGGUGAGUAAUGCCUAGGAAUCUGCCUGGUAGUGGGGAUAACGCUCGGAAACGGUAGCUAAUACCGCAUGACCUCGCAAGAGCAAAGUGGGGGACCUUCGGGCCUCACGCCAUCGGAUGUGCCCAGAUGGGAUUAGCUAGUAGGUGGGGUAAUGGCUCACCUAGGCGACGAUCCCUAGCUGGUCUGAGAGGAUGACCAGCCACACUGGAACUGAGACACGGUCCAGACUCCUACGGGAGGCAGCAGUGGGGAAUAUUGCACAAUGGGCGCAAGCCUGAUGCAGCCAUGCCGCGUGUGUGAAGAAGGCCUUAGGGUUGUAAAGCACUUUCAGCGAGGAGGAAGGCGCUGUAGUUAAUAGCUGCAGCGAUUGACGUUACUCGCAGAAGAAGCACCGGCUAACUCCGUGCCAGCAGCCGCGGUAAUACGGAGGGUGCAAGCGUUAAUCGGAAUUACUGGGCGUAAAGCGCACGCAGGCGGUUUGUUAAGUCAGAUGUGAAAUCCCCGAGCUUAACUUGGGAACUGCAUUUGAAACUGGCAAGCUAGAGUCUUGUAGAGGGGGGUAGAAUUCCAGGUGUAGCGGUGAAAUGCGUAGAGAUCUGGAGGAAUACCGGUGGCGAAGGCGGCCCCCUGACAAAGACUGACGCUCAGGUGCGAAAGCGUGGGGAGCAAAC
RNAcentral lists this ribosomal RNA (745 nucleotides) under uncultured bacterium. RNAcentral describes it as "bacterial SSU rRNA". It matches the Rfam family "Bacterial small subunit ribosomal RNA", at positions 33 to 773 of the family's 1533-position model. The record is from RNAcentral.